Molecule: long non-coding RNA, 589 nt
Filed under: Eutrema salsugineum
Lineage: Eukaryota; Viridiplantae; Streptophyta; Magnoliopsida; Brassicales; Brassicaceae
Description: long non-coding RNA (ESAL_LNC001099)
Source: RNAcentral
GCUAUUGAUUUCCUGAUGGGUGGUGUUUCCGCUGCUGUGUCAAAGACUGCUGCUGCUCCCAUUGAGCGUGUCAAGCUCUUGAUUCAAAACCAGGAUGAGAUGCUCAAGGCUGGUAGGCUCUCUGAGCCCUACAAGGGUAUCGGUGACUGUUUCGGCAGGACAGUUAAGGAUGAGGGAUUUGGUUCUUUGUGGAGAGGAAACACAGCUAAUGUCAUCCGUUAUUUCCCCACUCAGGUUGGUUAAGUUUCACUUCAUUGGUCCUAAAAUAUGUCUACUACUAUGUGAUGCAUUGGUUACUGAUAUAUCUCUCACUUGCCAGGCAUUGAACUUUGCAUUCAAAGAUUACUUCAAGAGGCUUUUCAACUUCAAGAAAGACAGGGAUGGAUACUGGAAGUGGUUUGCCGGUAACUUGGCAUCUGGAGGUGCUGCUGGUGCCUCAUCCCUUCUCUUUGUGUACUCUCUUGACUACGCACGUACCCGUCUUGCCAAUGACUCUAAGGCCGCCAAGAAGGGAGGUGAAAGGCAGUUCAAUGGUCUUGUUGAUGUCUACAAGAAGACCCUCAAGUCGGAUGGUAUUGCUGGACUUUAC